UACGGAGGGGGCCAGCGUUGUUCGGAAUCAUUGGGCGUAAAGGGCGCGUAGGCGGCCACGCAAGUCGGAUGUGAAAUCCCUCGGCUCAACCGAGGAACUGCAUCCGAAACUGCGAGGCUCGAGUCCUGGAGAGGGUAGUGGAAUUCCCAGUGUAGCGGUGAAAUGCGUAGAUACUGGGAGGAACACCGGUGGCGAAGGCGGCUACCUGGACAGGUACUGACGCUGAGGCGCGAAAGCCAGGGGAGCAAAC
This 250-nucleotide ribosomal RNA is filed under the name uncultured bacterium. RNAcentral's name for it is "partial 16S ribosomal RNA". It matches the Rfam family "Bacterial small subunit ribosomal RNA", at positions 524 to 773 of the family's 1533-position model. The record is from RNAcentral.